GUGACCUCAGCUCAGGCGAGAUCACCCACUUAUUUUAAGCAUAUAAUUAAGAACAUGACACAAACUUACAAGGAUUCCCCUAGUAGCGGUGAGCAAACCGGGAAGAGCCCAACAUGAAAAUCGGGCAACAGUGUCGCUUGACUUGUAGUCUGUAGAAGCAUCCUCAGUGGCAGACUUGGGCCAAGUCCCUUGGAAGGGGGUUCCUAAGAGGGUGAUAGCCCCAUUCGGCCAGGACCCUACCGCAUCAUGAGGCAUUGUCGGCGAGUCAGGUUGUUUGGGAAUGCAACCCUAAUUGGGUGGUAAAUUCCAUCCAAGGCUAAAUACAGGUGAGAGACCGAUAGCAAACAAGUACCACAAGGGAAAGAUGAAAAGGACUUUGAAAAGAGAGUUAAAGAGUGCUUGAAAUUGCUGGGAAGGAAGUAGAUGGAGGCUGUAGAUGCAUCUCGGUCAGAUGUGGAAUCGCUCAGGCUAGUCCACCGCUCUACUUUGGGUACAAACGAACACGGGCCACUGCAUCAUCACAAGCAUUGGUGGAUUACUACCUAUUAGUUUGCCAUUACAGUGGUCGAGGAACGAAGUGUGUGCCCUUGUGGCAGGCCAUGUGCACCUGCGCGCUCGUCGUGUUGGUUGGUGGGAUUUCCAUUCAACCCAUCUUGAAAUGCAAACCAUGGAGUCUAACAUGUGUGCGGAUCAGUGGGUUUGAAAACCUGUGAGGCGUAAGGAAACUAAUGGGUGAGAUCCCCUCUCUGAGGGGUGCAUCGUCGAUCGACCUUGAGCUUAUGCAAAGGGUUCGAACGUGAGCACACCUGUUGGGACCUGAAAGAUGGUGAACUAUGCCUAGGUAGGGUAAAGCCAGAGGAAACUCUGGUGGAGGCUCGUAGUGAUACUGAUGUGCAAAUCGUUUGUCUGAUUUGGGUAUAGGGGCGAAAGACUAAUCGAACCAUCUAGUAGCUGGUUUCCUCCGAAGUUUCCCUUAGGAUAGCUGGAGCUCACGUGCGAGUUUUAUCGAGUAAAGAAAAUGAUUAGAGGCUUCAGGGGCAUAAUUCCAUCGAACUAUUCUCAAAGUUUAAAUAGGUAAGAGGGUGUGGCUGCUCUAUUGAGCCGUGCUGUGGAAUCGAGAGCUCCAAGUCAGCCAUUUUUUGUAAGUAGAAUAGGUGAUGUGGGAUGAACCAAAAUUUGAGUUACGGUGUCAAAUUGUGCGCCAACCUAUAUCCCACAAAGCGUGUUGGUUGAUUAAGACAGCAAGAUGGUGGUCAUGGAAGUCGAAAUCCGCUAAGUGUGUAACAAUUCACCUACCGAAUCAACUAGCCCUGAAAAUGGAUGACACUGAAGCACACAACCUAUACUCGACCGUCGAAGCAAUUUCCUAGCUCCGAUGAGUAGGAGGAUGCAGGGGUCAUUGAGAAACCUCGAGUCUGAGCUUGGGUGGAUCAGUCCCCGAUGCAGAUCUUGGUGGUAGUAGCAAAUAUUCAAAUGAGAACACUGAAGACUGAAGUGGGGAAAGGUUCCAUGUGAACAACACUUGGACAUGGGUUAGUUGAUCCUAAGAGAUGGUGAAGCCUUCUAUCAAGGGUGCACUCUGCACGAGCGUCGAAAGGGAAUCAGGUUAAUAUUCCCGAACCGGGACAUGGCAGUGGGUGGCAAUGUUAGGAAAUCUAGAGACAUCGUUGGGGGCCCUGGGAAGAGUUAUCUUUUAUUUUUAACAGCUUGCCCACCCUAGAAUUAGCACACCCAGAGAUAGGUUCCAGCAGCUGGAAGAGCACCGCACAUCUUAAGGUGUCCGGUGUGCCCUUGGUGGCCCUCGAAAAUCUGGAGGACCGAGUACUUUCAAGCCUGGUCGUACUCAUAACUGCAUCUGGUCUCCAAGGUGAGAAACCUCUUGUCAAUAGAACAAUGUAGGUAAGGGAAGUCGGCAAAAUGGAUCCGUAACUUUAGGAAAAGGAUUGGCUCUAAGGGCUGCGCCUAGGGGUCUAUGCCCUUAACUCAUGGGUUGUCGGCAGUCUGCCCGAGCUGCUCACGCGGCAAGGGAAAGUAGUCGUGUGCCGAUUGGGAUGCGGGAGUAGAAUUCCCCUUGCUGGGGGAUUUUCCCUAGGCAUUGAAGAAUUGACUCAGAACUAGUACGGCCAAGGAAAUCGUACAGUUUAAUUAAAAAAAAGCAUUGCGAUGGUCCCUAUGGAUGUUGAUGCAAUGUGAUUUCUACCCAGUGCUCUGAAUGUCAAAGUGAAGAAAUUCAACCAAGUGCGGGUAAACGGUGGGAGUAACUAUGACUCGCUUAAGGUAGCCAAAUGCCUCGUCAUCUAAUUAGGGACGUGCAUGAAUGGACUAACGAGAUUCCCACUAUCCCUACCUACUAUCUAGCAAAACCAUAACCAAGGGAAUGGGCUUGGCAAAAUUAGCGGGGAAAGAAGACCCUAUUGAGCUUGACUCUAGUCUGACUUUGUGAAAUGACUUGAGAGGUGUAGAAUAAGUGGGAGCCAUUUUUGGUGCAAGUGAAAUACUACUACUUUAAUGUUAUUUUACUUAUUCCAUGGGGCAGAUAUGGGGCACUGCCCUUGUUUUUAGCCUUAAGGCAUGUUUCGGUAGGUUGAUACGGGUAGAAGACAUUGUUAGGUGGGGAGUUUGGCUGGGGCGACGCAUCUGUUAAAUGAUAACCCAGGUGUCCUAAGAUGAGCUCAACGAGAACAGAAAUAUCAUGUGGAACAAAAGGAUAAAAGCUCAUUUGAUUUUAAUUUUCAGUAUAAAUACAAAUCGUGAAAGCGUGGCCUAUCGAUCCUUUAGAUUUUUGGAAUUUGAAGCUAGAGGUGUCAGAAAAGUUACCAUAGGGAUAACCAUCUUGUGGCGGCCAAGCGUUUAUAGCAACGCUACUUUUUGAUCCUUAAAUGUCGGCUCUUCCUAUCAUUGUGAAGCAAAAUUCACCAAGUGUUGGAUUGUUCACCCACCAAUAGGGAAUGUGAGUUGGGUUUAGAUUGUCGUGAGACAGGUUAGUUUUACCCUACCGAUGAACCGCACUGCAAUAGUAAUUCAACUUAGUAUGAGAGGAACCGUUGAUUCACACAAUUGGUCAUCGUGCUUGGUUGAAAAGCUAAUGGCAUGAAGUUAUCGUGUGUCAAAUUAUGACUGAACACCUCUAAGUUAGAAUCCACGCUAGAAGCGGUGCAUGUCACUCUUUGAUUGUAUCUCGACCUGCAGUAGGGUUGUCUCUUUGUCACCCCCAGGGGCCCCUAUCAUUUGCAAACCACAACUCUGAAGCAUCUCGGUUGGGGAAACUUUGAAGUUCACUUCCAAAUGGUCAUUGAGAAGAAU
Molecule: ribosomal RNA, 3303 nt
Filed under: Pinus taeda (loblolly pine)
Lineage: Eukaryota; Viridiplantae; Streptophyta; Pinopsida; Pinales; Pinaceae
Description: eukaryotic LSU rRNA
Rfam family: Eukaryotic large subunit ribosomal RNA
Source: RNAcentral